CAAGGUGAGAGAUACGGAGGUAGAGCACUGAAUGUCCUAGGGGGUAUUGCACCUACCGAAGACUAUCAAACUCCGAAUGCCGUCAUCUUAUACUUGGGAGUCAGACUGUGGGUGAUAAGAUUCAUAGUCGAAAGGGCAACAGCCCAGAUCGUCAGCUAAGGUCCCUAAAUGUAAGUUAAGUGGUAAAGGAUGUGGGAUUGCACAGACAACCAGGAUGUUGGCUUAGAAGCAGCCACUCAUUCAAAGAGGGCGUGAUAGCUCAGUGGGGGAGUGAUCCGGCGCCGAAGAGUUCCGGGGCUAAAGCUUACUACCGAGGCUACGGCAUCAGUAAGGAUGGGUAGGGGAGCUGCCCAGACGGGUUGAGGCAUGACCGUAAGGACAUGUGGACAGUAUGGGAGUGAGAAUGUUGGCAUGAGUAGCGAGAUGUGGGUG
This 432-nucleotide ribosomal RNA is filed under the name Clostridioides difficile. RNAcentral describes it as "bacterial LSU rRNA". It matches the Rfam family "Bacterial large subunit ribosomal RNA", at positions 883 to 1323 of the family's 2925-position model. The record is from RNAcentral. Lineage: Bacteria; Bacillati; Bacillota; Clostridia; Peptostreptococcales; Peptostreptococcaceae.